UGAGUAACCUGCCCCCGACUCUGGGAUAACCCCGGGAAACCGGAGCUAAUACCGGAUACGACCCACACAGGCAUCUACGUGGGUGGAAAGUUUUUCGGUUGGGGAUGGGCCCGCGGCCUAUCAGCUUGUUGGUGGGGUGAUGGCCUACCAAGGCGACGACGGGUAGCCGGCCUGAGAGGGUGUCCGGCCACACUGGGACUGAGAUACGGCCCAGACUCCUACGGGAGCAGCAG
This 233-nucleotide ribosomal RNA is filed under the name uncultured bacterium. RNAcentral describes it as "partial 16S ribosomal RNA". It matches the Rfam family "Bacterial small subunit ribosomal RNA", at positions 118 to 354 of the family's 1533-position model. The record is from RNAcentral.